RNAcentral lists this long non-coding RNA (4858 nucleotides) under Volvox carteri. RNAcentral describes it as "long non-coding RNA (VCAR_LNC002320)". Lineage: Eukaryota; Viridiplantae; Chlorophyta; Chlorophyceae; Chlamydomonadales; Volvocaceae. The record is from RNAcentral.
CCACCGACGCAUCUCACGGCGGGGUUCAUAUUGCGUGCGCGUAUGGAUGCUCCUUUCGCCGCCUUUCCAGCAACUAGUUUGUGUUAUGAUGCAUCGUUGGUCCGGCGUACGACGGCGCCUGAUGCGAUUUAUGCGUCCGGAAGCCCUUUCAGCCUCCAGGCAUGUCCCCACCUGCCUCACAGCCACCGACGCAUCUCACGGCGGGGUUCCAAUUGUGUGCGCGUAUGGAUGCUCCUUUCCCCGCCGCCUUUCUAGCAACUAGUUGAUGUUAUGAUGCAUCGUUGGUCCGGUGUACGAUGGCGCCUGAUGCGAUUUAUGCGUCUGAAAGCCCUUUCAGCCUCCAGGCAUGUCCCCACCUGCCUCACAGCCACCGACGCAUCUCACGGCGGGGGUCUAAUUGCGUGCGCGUAUGGAUGCUCCUUUCCCCGCCGCCUUUCUAGCAACUAGUUGAUGUUAUGAUGCAUCGUUGGUCCGGCGUACGACGGCGCCUGAUGCGAUUUGUGCGUCCGGAAGCCCUUUCAGCCUCCAGGCACGUCCCCACCUGCCUCACAGCCACCGACGCAUCUCACGGCGGGGUUCCAAUUGUGUGCGCAUAUGGAUGCUCCUUUCCCCGCCGCCUUUCUAGCAACUAGUGGAUGUUAUGAUGCAUCGUUGGUCCGGUGUACGAUGGCGCCUGAUGCGAUUUAUGCGUCCGGAAGCCCUUUCAGCCUCCAGGCAUGUCCCCACCUGCCUCACAGCCACCGACGCAUCUCACGGCGGGGUUCAUAUUGCGUGCGCGUAUGGAUGCUCCUUUCGCCGCCUUUCCAGCAACUAGUUGAUGUUAUGAUGCAUCGUUGGUCCGGCGUAACGACGGCGCCUGAUGCGAUUUAUGCGUCCGGAAGCCCUUUCAGCCUCCAGGCACGUCCCCACCUGCCUCACAGCCAUCUCACGGCGGGGUUCCAAUUGUGUCGCGUAUGGAUGCUCCUUUCCCCGCCGCCUUUCUAGCAACUAGUUGAUGUUAUGAUGCAUCGUUGGUCCAGUGUACGACGGCGCCUGAUGCGAUUUAUGCGUCCGGAAGCCCUUUCAGCCUCCAGGCAUGUCCCCACCUGCCUCACAGCCACCGACGCAUCUCACGGCGGGGUUCCAAUUGUGUGCGCGUAUGGAUACUCCUUUCCUGCCGCCUUUCUAGCAACUAGUUGAUGUUAUGAUGCAUCGUUGGUCCGGUGUACGACGGUGCCUGAUGCGAUUUAUGCGUCCGGAAGCCCUUUCAGCCUCCAGGCAUGUCCCCACCUGCCUCACAGCCACCGACGCAUCUCACGGCGGGGGUCUAAUUGCGUGCGCGUAUGGAUGCUCCUUUCGCCGCCUUUCCAGCAACUAGUUGAUGUUAUGAUGCAUCGUUGGUCCGGUGUACGAUGGCGCCUGAUGCGAUUUAUGCGUCCGGAAGCCCUNUCAGCCUCCAGGCAUGUCCCCACCUGCCUCACAGCCACCGACGCAUCUCACGGCGGGGUUCCAAUUGUGUGCGCGUAUGGAUGCUCCUUUCCCCGCCGCCUUUCUAGUAACUAGUUGAUGUUAUGAUGCAUCGUUGGUCCGGUGUACGAUGGCGCCUGAUGCGAUUUAUGCGUCCGGAAGCCCUUUCAGCCUCCAGGCAUGUCCCCACCUGCCUCACAGCCACCGACGCAUCUCACGGCGGGGUUCCAAUUGCGUGCGCGUAUGGAUGCUCCUUUCCCCGCCGCCUUUCUAGCAACUAGUUGAUGUUAUGAUGCAUCGUUCUUCCGGUGUACGACGGCGCCUGAUGCGAUUUAUGCGUCCGGAAGCCCUUUCAGCCUCCAGGCACGUCCCCACCUGCCUCACAGCGACCGAGGCAUCUCACGGCGGGGGUCUAAUUGCGUGCGCGUAUGGAUGCUCCUUUCCCCGCCGCCUUUCUAGCAACUAGUUGAUGAUAUGAUGCAUCGUUGGUCCGGCGUACGACGGCGCCUGAUGCGAUUUAUGCGUCCGGAAGCCCUUUCAGCCUCCAGGCAUGUCCCCACCUGCCUCACAGCCACCGACGCAUCUCACGGCGGGGUUCAAAUUGCGUGCGCGUAUGGAUACUCCUUUCCUGGCGGCUUUCUAACAAAUAAUUGAUGUUCUGAUGCCUCGUUGGUCCGGUGUACGAAGGUGCCUGAUGCGAAUUAUGCGUUCGGAAGCCCUUUCAGGCUUCAGGGAUGUUCCCAACUGGCUCACAGGCAACGACGCAUCUCACGGGGGGGGUCUAAUUGCGUGCGCGUAUGGAUGCUCCUUUCGCCGGCUUUCCAGCAACUAGUUGAUGUUAUGAUGCAUCGUUGGUCCGGCGUACGAUGGCGCCUGGUGCGAUGUAUGCGUCCGGAAGCCCUUUCAGCCUCCAGGCAUGUCCCCACCUGCCUCACAGCCACCGACGCAUCUCACGGCGGGGUUCCAAUUGCGUGCGCGUAUGGAUGCUCCUUUCCCCGCCGCCUUUCUAGCAACUAGUUGAUGUUAUGAUGCAUCGUUCUUCCGGUGUACGACGGCGCCUGAUGCGAUUUAUGCGUCCGGAAGCCCUUUCAGCCUCCAGGCAUGUCCCCACCUGCCUCACAGCCACCGACGCAUCUCACGGCGGGGGUCUAAUUGCGUGCGCGUAUGGAUGCUCCUUUCCCCGCUGCCUUUCCAGCAACUAGUUGAUGUUAUGAUGCAUCGUUGGUCCGGCGUACGAUGGCGUCUGAUGCGAUUUAUGCGUCCGGAAGCCCUUUCAGCCUCCAGGCAUGUCCCCACCUGCCUCACAGCCACCGACGCAUCUCACGGCGGGGUUCCAAUUGCGUGCGCGUAUGGAUGCUCCUUUCGCCGCCGCCUUUCUAGCAACUAGUUGAUGUUAUGAUGCAUCGUUGGUCCGGCGUACGAUGGCGUCUGAUGCGAUGUAUGCGUCCGGAAGCCCUUUCAGCCUCCAGGCAUGUCCCCACCUGCCUCACAGCCACCGACGCAUCUCACGGCGGGGUUCCAAUUGCGUGCGCGUAUGGAUGAUCCUUUCCUGCCGCCUUUCUAGCAACUAGUUGAUGUUAUGAUGCAUCGUUGGUCCGGCGUACGAUGGCGCCUGAUGCGAUUUAUGCGUCCGGAAGCCCUUUCAGCCUCCAGGCAUGUCCCCACCUGCCUCACAGCCACCGACGCAUCUCACGGCGGGGUUCCAAUUGUGUGCGCGUAUGGAUGCUCCUUUCCCCGCCGCCUUUCCAGCAACUAGUUGAUGUUAUGAUGCAUCGUUGGUCCGGCGUACGAUGGCGCCUGGUGCGAUGUAUGCGUCCGGAAGCCCUUUCAGCCUCCAGGCAUGUCCCCACCUGCCUCACAGCCACCGACGCAUCUCACGGCGGGGUUCCAAUUGCGUGCGCGUAUGGAUGCUCCUUUCCCCGCCGCCUUUCUAGCAACUAGUUGAUGUUAUGAUGCAUCGUUCUUCCGGUGUACGACGGCGCCUGAUGCGAUUUAUGCGUCCGGAAGCCCUUUCAGCCUCCAGGCAUGUCCCCACCUGCCUCACAGCCACCGACGCAUCUCACGGCGGGGGUCUAAUUGCGUGCGCGUAUGGAUGCUCCUUUCCCCGCUGCCUUUCCAGCAACUAGUUGAUGUUAUGAUGCAUCGUUGGUCCGGCGUACGACGGCGCCUGAUGCGAUUUAUGCGUCCGGAAGCCCUUUCAGCCUCCAGGCAUGUCCCCACCUGCCUCACAGCCACCGACGCAUCUCACGGCGGGGGUCUAAUUGCGUGCGCGUAUGGAUGCUCCUUUCCCCGCCGCCUUUCUAGCAACUAGUUGAUGUUAUGAUGCAUCGUUGGUCCGGCGUACGACGGCGCCUGAUGCGAUUUAUGCGUCCGGAAGCCCUUUCAGCCUCCAGGCAUGUCCCCACCUGCCUCACAGCGACCGACGCAUCUCACGGCGGGGGUCUAAUUGCGUGCGCGUAUGGAUGCUCCUUUCGCCGCCGCCUUUCUAGCAACUAGUUGAUGUUAUGAUGCAUCGUUGGUCCGGCGUACGACGGCGCCUGAUGCGAUUUAUGCGUCCGGAAGCCCUUUCAGCCUCCAGGCAUGUCCCCACCUGCCUCACAGCCACCGACGCAUCUCACGGCGGGGGUCUAAUUGCGUGCGCGUAUGGAUGCUCCUUUCGCCGCCUUUCUAGCAACUAGUUGAUGUUAUGAUGCAUCGUUGGUCCGGCGUACGACGGCGCCUGAUGCGAUUUAUGCGUCCGGAAGCCCUUUCAGCCUCCAGGCAUGUCCCCACCUGCCUCACAGCCACCGACGCAUCUCACGGCGGGGGUCUAAUUGCGUGCACGUAUGGAUGCUCCUUUCGCCGCCGCCUUUCUAGCAACUAGUUGAUGUUAUGAUGCAUCGUUGGUCCGGCGUACGACGGCGCCUGAUGCGAUUUAUGCGUCCGGAAGCCCUUUCAGCCUCCAGGCAUGUCCCCACCUGCCUCACAGCGACCGACGAAUCUCACGGCGGGGGUCUAAUUGCGUGCGCGUAUGGAUGCUCCUUUCGCCGCCUUUCCAGCAACUAGUUGAUGUUAUGAUGCAUCGUUGGUCCGGCGUACGAUGGCGCCUGAUGCGAUUUAUGCGUCCGGAAGCCCUUUCAGCCUCCAGGCAUGUCCCCACCUGCCUCACAGCCACCGACGCAUCUCACGGCGGGGUUCCAAUUGCGUGCGCGUAUGGAUGCUCCUUUCGCCGCCGCCUUUCUAGCAACUAGUUGAUGUUAUGAUGCAUCGUUGGUCCGGCGUACGAUGGCGCCUGAUGCGAUGUAUGCGUCCGGAAGCCCUUUCAGCCUCCAGGCAUGUCCCCACCUGCCUCACAGCCACCGACGCAUCUCACGGCGGGGGUCUAAUUGCGUGCGCGUAUGGAUGCUCCUUUCGCCGCCUUUCCAGCAACUAG